GUGCAAAUGAUGAUAAAUUAACAGUAUGACAAAUAAUGAUACUGUAAACGCUUUCUGAUGCA
This is a small nucleolar RNA of Xenopus tropicalis (tropical clawed frog), 62 nucleotides long. Lineage: Eukaryota; Metazoa; Chordata; Amphibia; Anura; Pipidae. The record is from Ensembl.